RNAcentral lists this non-coding RNA (235 nucleotides) under gamma proteobacterium IMCC2047. Lineage: Bacteria; Pseudomonadati; Pseudomonadota; Gammaproteobacteria. RNAcentral also lists the same sequence under 1 other name. The record is from RNAcentral.
CAUUCCUGGACUGGAACAGGUGCCAGCGCUUCCAUCGCGAAGUCAGGAUAAUCGGGAAGUAUGGAUAGCGUGAUCGUUGAUCAUCAAUCCCAUCGCUGCCCCCGCAUCGGUAAUAAAGAGCUAUUUACAUAAGCCACUAGAUUUAAGUGAUCUGGGAAGGCGUAAAUCUUUCGGUUGGGUCGUAUUGGCGCAACCCUCUUUGAGCCCGAAGACCGGCCUGAUCUACCACUAAAAC